AAGAGAAUUAAAAAGAAGCUGCUAACUAUCUUUCAUAGCGAACAAAUACGUUUUUCUCUUA
This 61-nucleotide transfer RNA is filed under the name Ugyops sp. APL-2018. RNAcentral's name for it is "tRNA-Ser". Lineage: Eukaryota; Metazoa; Arthropoda; Insecta; Hemiptera; Delphacidae. The record is from RNAcentral.